Molecule: ribosomal RNA, 738 nt
Filed under: Pediococcus pentosaceus
Lineage: Bacteria; Bacillati; Bacillota; Bacilli; Lactobacillales; Lactobacillaceae
Description: bacterial SSU rRNA
Rfam family: Bacterial small subunit ribosomal RNA
Source: RNAcentral
AUACAUGCAAGUCGAACGAACUUCCGUUAAUUGAUUAUGACGUACUUGUACUGAUUGAGAUUUUAACACGAAGUGAGUGGCGAACGGGUGAGUAACACGUGGGUAACCUGCCCAGAAGUAGGGGAUAACACCUGGAAACAGAUGCUAAUACCGUAUAACAGAGAAAACCGCAUGGUUUUCUUUUAAAAGAUGGCUCUGCUAUCACUUCUGGAUGGACCCGCGGCGUAUUAGCUAGUUGGUGAGGUAAAGGCUCACCAAGGCAGUGAUACGUAGCCGACCUGAGAGGGUAAUCGGCCACAUUGGGACUGAGACACGGCCCAGACUCCUACGGGAGGCAGCAGUAGGGAAUCUUCCACAAUGGACGCAAGUCUGAUGGAGCAACGCCGCGUGAGUGAAGAAGGGUUUCGGCUCGUAAAGCUCUGUUGUUAAAGAAGAACGUGGGUAAGAGUAACUGUUUACCCAGUGACGGUAUUUAACCAGAAAGCCACGGCUAACUACGUGCCAGCAGCCGCGGUAAUACGUAGGUGGCAAGCGUUAUCCGGAUUUAUUGGGCGUAAAGCGAGCGCAGGCGGUCUUUUAAGUCUAAUGUGAAAGCCUUCGGCUCAACCGAAGAAGUGCAUUGGAAACUGGGAGACUUGAGUGCAGAAGAGGACAGUGGAACUCCAUGUGUAGCGGUGAAAUGCGUAGAUAUAUGGAAGAACACCAGUGGCGAAGGCGGCUGUCUGGUCUGCAACUGAC